Molecule: ribosomal RNA, 541 nt
Filed under: uncultured archaeon
Lineage: Archaea
Description: bacterial SSU rRNA
Rfam family: Archaeal small subunit ribosomal RNA
Source: RNAcentral
GGCAGCAGCCGCGGUAACACCGGCGGCCCGAGUGGUGAUCGUGAUUAUUGGGUCUAAAGGGUCCGUAGCCGGUUUGGUCAGUCCUCCGGGAAAUCUGAUAGCUCAACUAUUAGGCUUUCGGGGGAUACUGCCAGACUUGGAACCGGGAGAGGUAAGAGGUACUACAGGGGUAGGAGUGAAAUCUUGUAAUCCCUGUGGGACCACCUGUGGCGAAGGCGUCUUACCAGAACGGGUUCGACGGUGAGGGACGAAAGCUGGGGGCACGAACCGGAUUAGAUACCCGGGUAGUCCCAGCCGUAAACGAUGCUCGCUAGGUGUCAGGCAUGGCGCGACCGUGUCUGGUGCCGCAGGGAAGCCGUGAAGCGAGCCACCUGGGAAGUACGGCCGCAAGGCUGAAACUUAAAGGAAUUGGCGGGGGAGCACAACAACGGGUGGAGCCUGCGGUUUAAUUGGACUCAACGCCGGACAACUCACCGGGGGCGACAGCAAUAUGUAGGCCAAGCUGAAGACUUUGCCUGAAUCGCUGAGGGGUGGUGCAUGG